GGUGAGAGAAUAUGAAUGAUUCGAAUUGAAUUGUUCUUAUUUAUCGAUUAGAAGAGUUCUAAUUAAAUAUCAAAGAGUUUGAUGUUGAGCUCCACUGCCGAAUGGUAAUGAACCUAUGCGGUCACACACAUUAGGAAUUGUGUGCACCCGAAUCGUUUGGAUGAAAGUCGUUCACUAAAGAGUUUAGUGUAAGCGAUGAAAAUAAAAGGAAGCUGCUUAAUUAAAUUAGAUUUAAUUAUUCGAUUCGGUUAUAACUGAUAGUCCUAAUUAGAUUAGGAUAUCAGAAUCAGUUUGAGAAUUAUGCGCAAGAUUUAAAUUUAUCUCUAAUUAGAUUAGUGGAUAAUAUUUAAUCAUAAAAGAUAUUUAAAUGAGAUUUAAAUAUUAGUAAGUAAUCUUAUUGGAUAAGAUCAAAAUUAGAUAAG
RNAcentral lists this long non-coding RNA (422 nucleotides) under Ananas comosus (pineapple). RNAcentral's name for it is "long non-coding RNA (ACOM_LNC038213)". The record is from RNAcentral. Lineage: Eukaryota; Viridiplantae; Streptophyta; Magnoliopsida; Poales; Bromeliaceae.